CCAGCUGUGGGCCAGUGGCCAGGCCGCCUCGUUCGGGAUGAGGACGACGGGGGUUCGAGUCCCCCCAGCUGGACCA
This 76-nucleotide transfer RNA is filed under the name Kribbella turkmenica. Its description in RNAcentral is "Kribbella sp. 16K104 tRNA-Pro". It matches the Rfam family "tRNA". Rfam says of the family: Transfer RNA (tRNA) molecules are approximately 80 nucleotides in length. The record is from RNAcentral. Lineage: Bacteria; Bacillati; Actinomycetota; Actinomycetes; Propionibacteriales; Kribbellaceae.